CUGAGUGUUUUGAGUCUGACUCAAAUCCUCCCACCCUUUGUUUAAAUGACCUGUUGCUUCGGUGAGACUGACUGUCAAAAGUCGGUCGACUGAUUCUAAAUCAGUGGGCUUGUUUUGCUCACCGAAGUUUUUUUUACAACUCUUUUAUUUUCAGAUAUUUGAGAAAACAAAAACAAAAAAAAUCA
This 185-nucleotide unclassified non-coding RNA is filed under the name uncultured fungus. RNAcentral's name for it is "sequence contains ITS1, 5.8S rRNA gene". Lineage: Eukaryota; Fungi. The record is from RNAcentral.